UGCCAGACUCCUACGGGAGGCAGCAGUGAGGAAUAUUGGUCAAUGGUCGGGAGACUGAACCAGCCAAGCCGCGUGAGGGAGGAAGGUACAGAGUAUCGUAAACCUCUUUUGUCAGGGAACAAAGGCGGGGACGUGUCCCCGGAUGAGUGUACCUGAAGAAAAAGCAUCGGCUAACUCCGUGCCAGCAGCCGCGGUAAUACGUAGGGGGCAAGCGUUAUCCGGAUUUACUGGGUGUAAAGGGAGCGUAGACGGCAUAGCAAGUCUGAAGUGAAAGCCCAAGGCUCAACCAUGGGACUGCUUUGGAAACUGUUAAGCUAGAGUGCUGGAGAGGUAAGCGGAAUUCCUAGUGUAGCGGUGAAAUGCGUAGAUAUUAGGAAGAACACCAGUGGCGAAGGCGGCUUACUGGACAGUAACUGACGUUGAGGCUCGAAAGCGUGGGGAGCAAACAGGAUUAGAUACCCGCGUA
Molecule: ribosomal RNA, 466 nt
Filed under: uncultured bacterium
Lineage: Bacteria
Description: bacterial SSU rRNA
Rfam family: Bacterial small subunit ribosomal RNA
Source: RNAcentral